GAUUUUGUUCUCAUGUCCAGUCCUAUCAUCUAGGGGUGAAAAGAUAACAAGCUAUAAGCGGUGUGGAAGGAGAAGAUAAAUACAUGAGAGCAUGCUUUUUUUUAAACAAAAAUUUGAAGUUAAGAAAACUUGCAUAAAUAUCGAGGGUCCAGUUUCUAUCCAGCUAGAAUUUUCUAGUGCUAGUUAGAAAUAUACCCGAACAAGUGGCAACCACGUCGAAGAUAAAACAGAAC
RNAcentral lists this small RNA (233 nucleotides) under Histoplasma capsulatum var. duboisii H88. RNAcentral's name for it is "Histoplasma capsulatum H88 hypothetical RNA". Lineage: Eukaryota; Fungi; Ascomycota; Eurotiomycetes; Onygenales; Ajellomycetaceae. The record is from RNAcentral.